RNAcentral lists this ribosomal RNA (39 nucleotides) under Ectophoma multirostrata. Its description in RNAcentral is "partial 28S ribosomal RNA". Lineage: Eukaryota; Fungi; Ascomycota; Dothideomycetes; Pleosporales; Didymellaceae. The record is from RNAcentral.
GAACUUAAGCAUAUCAAUAAGGCGGAGGAACUUUUUACU